GACGAACGUUGGCGGCGUGCUUAACACAUGCAAGUCGAACGGAAAGGCCCUGCUUUUGUGGGGUGCUCGAGUGGCGAACGGGUGAGUAACACGUGAGUAACCUGCCCUUGACUUUGGGAUAACUUCAGGAAACUGGGGCUAAUACCGGAUAGGAGCUCCUGCUGCAUGGUGGGGGUUGGAAAGUUUCGGCGGUUGGGGAUGGACUCGCGGCUUAUCAGCUUGUUGGUGGGGUAGUGGCUUACCAAGGCUUUGACGGGUAGCCGGCCUGAGAGGGUGACCGGCCACAUUGGGACUGAGAUACGGCCCAGACUCCUACGGGAGGCAGCAGUGGGGAAUAUUGCACAAUGGGCGGAAGCCUGAUGCAGCAACGCCGCGUGCGGGAUGACGGCCUUCGGGUUGUAAACCGCUUUCGCCUGUGACGAAGCGUGAGUGACGGUAAUGGGUAAAGAAGCACCGGCUAACUACGUGCCAGCAGCCGCGGUGAUACGUAGGGUGCGAGCGUUGUCCGGAUUUAUUGGGCGUAAAGGGCUCGUAGGUGGUUGAUCGCGUCGGAAGUGUAAUCUUGGGGCUUAACCCUGAGCGUGCUUUCGAUACGGGUUGACUUGAGGAAGGUAGGGGAGAAUGGAAUUCCUGGUGGAGCGGUGGAAUGCGCAGAUAUCAGGAGGAACACCAGUGGCGAAGGCGGUUCUCUGGGCCUUUCCUGACGCUGAGGAGCGAAAGCGUGGGGAGCGAACAGGCCUAGAUACCCUGGUAGUCCACGCUGUAAACGGUGGGUACUAGGUGUGGGGUCCAUUCCACGGGUUCCGUGCCGUAGCUAACGCUUUAAGUACCCCGCCUGGGGAGUACGGCCGCAAGGCUAAAACUCAAAGGAAUUGACGGGGCCCCGCACAAGCGGCGGAGCAUGCGGAUUAAUUCGAUGCAACGCGUAGAACCUUACCUGGGUUUGACAUGGAUCGGGAGUGCUCAGAGAUGGGUGUGCCUCUUUUGGGGUCGGUUCACAGGUGGUGCAUGGCUGUCGUCAGCUCGUGUCGUGAGAUGUUGGGUUAAGUCCCGCAACGAGCGCAACCCUUGUUCACUGUUGCCAGCACGUUAUGGUGGGGACUCAGUGGAGACCGCCGGGGUCAACUCGGAGGAAGGUGGGGAUGACGUCAAGUCAUCAUGCCCCUUAUGUCCAGGGCUUCACGCAUGCUACAAUGGCUGGUACAGAGAGUGGCGAGCCUGUGAGGGUGAGCGAAUCUCGGAAAGCCGGUCUCAGUUCGGAUUGGGGUCUGCAACUCGACCUCAUGAAGUCGGAGUCGCUAGUAAUCGCAGAUCAGCAACGCUGCGGUGAAUACGUUCCCGGG
Molecule: ribosomal RNA, 1343 nt
Filed under: uncultured bacterium
Lineage: Bacteria
Description: 16S ribosomal RNA
Rfam family: Bacterial small subunit ribosomal RNA
Source: RNAcentral